UAGUCUGCAACCCGACUACACGAAGCUGGAAUCGCUAGUAAUCGCGGAUCAGAAUGUCGCGGUGAAUACGUUCCCGGGUCUUGUACACACCGCCCGUCACACCAUGGGAGUCGGGAAUGCCCGAAGUCAGUGACCCAACCUAUUGGAGGGAGCUGCCGAAGGCAGGUCUGAUAACUGGGGUGAAGUCGUAACAAGGUAAC
Molecule: ribosomal RNA, 200 nt
Filed under: uncultured bacterium
Lineage: Bacteria
Description: partial 16S ribosomal RNA
Rfam family: Bacterial small subunit ribosomal RNA
Source: RNAcentral